UCCUUCUCAGCUUUUGAUUGUUGCUCAGAAGGCGUGGCAAUCUGACAAGCCUUCGAGUGACUAUCAAAUCUUGUGGAGAC
RNAcentral lists this microRNA precursor (80 nucleotides) under Ixodes scapularis (black-legged tick). RNAcentral's name for it is "mir-315 microRNA precursor family". The record is from Rfam by way of RNAcentral. Lineage: Eukaryota; Metazoa; Arthropoda; Arachnida; Ixodida; Ixodidae.